Molecule: ribosomal RNA, 169 nt
Filed under: Adesmia retrofracta
Lineage: Eukaryota; Viridiplantae; Streptophyta; Magnoliopsida; Fabales; Fabaceae
Description: 5.8S ribosomal RNA
Rfam family: 5.8S ribosomal RNA
About the family: 5.8S ribosomal RNA (5.8S rRNA) is a component of the large subunit of the eukaryotic ribosome. It is transcribed by RNA polymerase I as part of the 45S precursor that also contains 18S and 28S rRNA.
Source: RNAcentral
GAUCUAAAAUGACUCUCGGCAACGGAUAUCUCGGCUCUUGCAUCGAUGAAAACGUAGCGAAAUGCGAUACUUGGUGUGAAUUGCAGAAUCCCGUGAACCAUCGAGUCUUUGAACGCAAGUUGCGCCCAAAGCCAUUAGGCCGAGGGCACGCCUGCCUGGGUGUCACUAA